GUCGGGCAUGGUGGCAAGUGCCUGUAGUCCCAGCUAUUCAGGAGGCUGAGGUGGGAGGAUCACUUGAGCCCAGGAGUUAUAGGCUGUAAUGUGCUAUGCCAAUCAGUGUCCGCACUAAGUUCGGUAUCAAUAUGGUGACCUCCCAGGAGCAGGGGACCACCAAGUUGCCUAAGGAGAGGUGACCCAGCCCACGUUGGAAACGGAGCAGGUCAAAACUCCCGUGCUAAUCAGUAGUGGGAUUGCGCCUGUGAAUAGCCACUGCACUCCAGCCUGGGCAACAUAGCAAGACCUCAUCUCUA
This is an unclassified non-coding RNA of Callithrix jacchus (white-tufted-ear marmoset), 299 nucleotides long. It matches the Rfam family "Metazoan signal recognition particle RNA". Rfam says of the family: The signal recognition particle (SRP) is a universally conserved ribonucleoprotein. The record is from Ensembl. Lineage: Eukaryota; Metazoa; Chordata; Mammalia; Primates; Cebidae.